UCUGCUGUGCUGACCACAACUGCUAUGCUGAGCCCAGGGCAUCUAACCUGAGGAUGCAGCCCAGUUGGGAAGCUUCAUAUUGGGUGACUGGAGUGUGUGCCAGAGGGCGUGCCAAGCUACAAGACAAUCACCUUCGAUUUCCCUGGAGAGUCAAUUUGACCAUAAGGAAUGACCGAAGGAUUGGGGAAGAAAAUACUCCCCCUGCUGAUGCUCCUUUGGUUCUACUUGGGAGUGAAGCUCACAAGAGGAGGG
This 252-nucleotide long non-coding RNA is filed under the name Homo sapiens (human). RNAcentral describes it as "HSALNT0369875". Lineage: Eukaryota; Metazoa; Chordata; Mammalia; Primates; Hominidae. The record is from RNAcentral.